Molecule: long non-coding RNA, 173 nt
Organism: Mizuhopecten yessoensis (Yesso scallop)
Lineage: Eukaryota; Metazoa; Mollusca; Bivalvia; Pectinida; Pectinidae
Exons: 7
Source: RefSeq, a predicted model, not a curated record
CUCAGGGAUUGGUGGCAGCAAAUGAACAAUUUUGAAAACAAAGAACAAAGCGAAAGAGAGGGCCUUGUUGAUGAUAUGAAAUCUAUUCUCCCUUCAAUGCUGAGCAACGUCAAUGAAGCAAUUGCAGCGUUUGAGAAUGGCAGAUUAGACAACCUACAGAACUUAGAAUUAGU